This 253-nucleotide ribosomal RNA is filed under the name uncultured bacterium. RNAcentral's name for it is "partial 16S ribosomal RNA". It matches the Rfam family "Bacterial small subunit ribosomal RNA", at positions 524 to 776 of the family's 1533-position model. The record is from RNAcentral.
UACGAAGGGGGCUAGCGUUGCUCGGAAUUACUGGGCGUAAAGGGCGCGUAGGCGGGUAGUUUAGUCAGAGGUAAAAGCCCAGGGCUCAACCUUGGAACUGCCUUUGAUACUGGCUAUCUUGAGUACGGGAGAGGUGUGUGGAACUCCGAGUGUAGAGGUGAAAUUCGUAGAUAUUCGGAAGAACACCAGUGGCGAAGGCGACUUACUGGACACAUAUUGACGCUGAGGUGCGAAAGCGUGGGGAGCAAACAGG